CAGUUCGGAUUGCAGUCUGAAACUCGAGUGCAUGAAGCUGGAAUCGCUAGUAAUCGCAAAUCAGAAUGUUGCGGUGAAUACGUUCCCGGGUCUUGUACACACCGCCCGUCACACCAUGGGAGUUGGAAAUGCCCGAAGUCAGUGACCCAACCAAAAGGAGGGAGCUGCCGAAGGCAGGUUCGAUGACUGGGGUGAAGUCGUAACAAGGUAUC
Molecule: ribosomal RNA, 212 nt
Filed under: uncultured bacterium
Lineage: Bacteria
Description: partial 16S ribosomal RNA
Rfam family: Bacterial small subunit ribosomal RNA
Source: RNAcentral